GAGUUUGAUCGUGGCUCAGAACGAACGCUGGCGGCAUGCCUAACACAUGCAAGUCGAACGAAGUCUUCGGACUUAGUGGCGCACGGGUGCGUAACGCGUGGGAAUCUGCCCUUGGGUACGGAAUAACUCAGAGAAGUUUGUGCUAAUACCGUAUAAUGUCUUCGGACCAAAGAUUUAUCGCCCAAGGAUGAGCCCGCGUAAGAUUAGCUAGUUGGUGAGGUAAGAGCUCACCAAGGCGACGAUCUUUAGCUGGUCUGAGAGGAUGAUCAGCCACACUGGGACUGAGACACGGCCCAGACUCCUACGGGAGGCAGCAGUGGGGAAUAUUGGACAAUGGGCGAAAGCCUGAUCCAGCAAUGCCGCGUGAGUGAUGAAGGCCUUAGGGUUGUAAAGCUCUUUUACCCGGGAUGAUAAUGACAGUACCGGGAGAAUAAGCUCCGGCUAACUCCGUGCCAGCAGCCGCCGCCGUAAG
This 472-nucleotide ribosomal RNA is filed under the name uncultured microorganism. Its description in RNAcentral is "bacterial SSU rRNA". It matches the Rfam family "Bacterial small subunit ribosomal RNA", at positions 9 to 527 of the family's 1533-position model. The record is from RNAcentral.